AGAGUUUGAUCCUGGCUCAGAACGUACGCUGGCGGCACGCCUAACACAUGCAAGUCGAACGAAGUAGCAAUACUUAGUGGCAGACGGGUGAGUAACAUGUGGGUAUCUACCCUUUGGCCUGGAAUAACACGAGGAAACUUGUGCUAAUACUGGAUAAGUCUUUACGGAGAAAGCUUUAUGCACCAUUGGAUGAGCCUGCACUUGAUUAGUUUGUUGGUGGGGUAAUGGCCUACCAAGACUGUGAUCAAUAGCUGAUUUGAGAGGAUGAUCAGCCACAUUGGGACUGAGACACGGCCCAAACUCCUACGGGAGGCAGCAGUGGGGAAUCUUGCACAAUGGAGGAAACUCUGAUGCAGCGAUGCCGCGUGAGUGAAGAAGGCCCUUGGGUUGUAAAGCUCUUUCGUCGGGGAAGAAAAUGACUGUACCCGAAUAAGAAGGUCCGGCUAACUUCGUGCCAGCCGCCGCGGU
This 468-nucleotide ribosomal RNA is filed under the name uncultured bacterium. RNAcentral describes it as "bacterial SSU rRNA". It matches the Rfam family "Bacterial small subunit ribosomal RNA", at positions 8 to 521 of the family's 1533-position model. The record is from RNAcentral.